UCUUUGCUGUGUGAGGGCCUUCUCCAGCUGCACUGAGCAAGGGCUACUCUGUAGUUGCAGUGCGCGGGCUUCUCAUUGCAGUGGCUUCUUUUGUUGUGGAGUACGGGCAUGGACUGCCGCCAUGUCCUACCCACCAGUUGCGUAGUGCGCAUGUUGCUCCAGGACCUUGCUUCAGAAAUUGGUCAUGUAUGGAUGUGAGAGUUGGACUGUGAAGAAAGCUGAGCGCUGAAGAAUUGAUGCUUUUGAACUGUGGCAUUGGAGAAGACUCUUGAGAGUCCCUUGGACUGCAAGGAGAUCCAACCAGUCCAUUCUGAAGGAGAUCAGCCCUGGGUGUUCUUUGGAAGGACUGAUGCUAAAGCUGAAACUCCAGUACUUUGGCCACCUCAUGCGAAAAGUUGACUCAUUGGAAAAGACUCUGAUGCUGGGAGGGAUUGGGGGCAGGAGGAGAAGGGGACGACAGAGGAUGAGAUGGCUGGAUGGCAUCACCGACUCGAUGGACAUGAGUUUGAGUGAACUCUGGGAGUUGGUGAUGGACAGGGAGGCCUGGCGUGCUGUGAUUCAUGGGGUCACAAAGAGUCGGACACGACUGAGUGACUGAACUGAACUGAAUAUAUAUAAAAGAAAUUAAGAUCUCAUUAAUGAACCCACAAGAAUAAUAUUUUGCAAGUAGUAAAUACAUCACACAGUAUCAUCUAAGAGUUGGAAGUGUCCUCGGAGAAGUCAGGUAUCCUACCUGUUGCAUGAAUUUCCUCUACAACAUCCUGAAUGCUAUCUCCAGCCUCUGCCCAGGUUCCAACAUGGACAAAACCAUUUUCUUAAAACAGUUGAUUAGAGUGCUGGAUUCCUGUAACUGUUACAGCCCUUUCUAAUACUGAACUUAAAUCUAUUUCCUCUGGAUCCCACCCGUGCUGCUAAUCUCUUAAAAUUUUUUUUCUUCCCUUCUGGGCAGUACAAUGGCUCUAAACGUGCUGGGCUGGCCUUUAAACUGAAAUUGAAAAAUCAGUGGGUGGUACAAAGCAUACGAGUGUUUAAAUAUGCUUUAUGGAUGGUUGUUUGAACUGGAUCCUUCAAAGAAUGUAAAGGGAUAAAGAAAAUUUGAGAAUGCUUCAUUUUUUUCUCAUUUGUUCUAUUUUUAAGCACCCCUAUCACACUAUUUGACUCAUCUAAGUGAAAUAGGGAUCUUUGGACUAAAGUGAAAGUGAAAUGAAAGUGUUAGUCGCCCAGUGGUGUCCAACUUUUUGCAAACCCAUGGACUGUAGCCCACCAGGCUCCUCAGUCCACGGAAUUCUCCAGGCAAGAAUACUGGAAUGAGUAGCCAUUUCCUUCUCCAGGGAUCUUCCUGACCCAGGGAUUGAACCCAGGUCCCCUCAUUGCAGGCAGAUUUUUUACCAUCUGAGCCACCUGAGAUGCCCUGGAAUUCAAUUAUCUGUGGGCAUGAUUGGUAU
Bos taurus (domestic cattle) is the source of this 1445-nucleotide long non-coding RNA. The record is from Ensembl. NCBI's taxonomy places the organism in Eukaryota, Metazoa, Chordata, Mammalia, Artiodactyla, Bovidae.